Molecule: ribosomal RNA, 214 nt
Filed under: uncultured bacterium
Lineage: Bacteria
Description: partial 16S ribosomal RNA
Rfam family: Bacterial small subunit ribosomal RNA
Source: RNAcentral
CCCAGUUCGGAUUGUAGUCUGCAACCCGACUACAUGAAGCUGGAAUCGCUAGUAAUCGUGGAUCAGAAUGCCGCGGUGAAUACGUUCCCGGGUCUUGUACACACCGCCCGUCACACCAUGGGAGCCGGUAACGCCCGAAGUCAGUGACCCAACCGAGAGGAGGGAGCUGCCGAAGGCGGGACAGGUAACUGGGGUGAAGUCGUAACAAGGUACC